This 459-nucleotide ribosomal RNA is filed under the name uncultured bacterium. RNAcentral describes it as "partial 16S ribosomal RNA". It matches the Rfam family "Bacterial small subunit ribosomal RNA", at positions 338 to 795 of the family's 1533-position model. The record is from RNAcentral.
CCUACGGGUGGCAGCAGUGAGGAAUAUUGGUCAAUGGGCGCGAGCCUGAACCAGCCAAGUAGCGUGAAGGAUGACUGCCCUACGGGUUGUAAACUUCUUUUAUAAAGGAAUAAAGUGAGGCACGUGUGCCUUUUUGUAUGUACUUUAUGAAUAAGGAUCGGCUAACUCCGUGCCAGCCGUCGCGGUAAUACGGAGGAUCCGAGGGUUAUCCGGGUUUAUUGGGUGUAAAGGGUGCGUAGGCGGAGCGUUAAGUCAGUGUUCAAAUUGAGGGGCUAAACACCUUCCCGCCAUUGAAACUGGCGCUCUUGAGUGGAAGAGAAGUAUGCGGAAUGCGAGGUGUAGCGGUGAAAUGCAUAGAUAUCACGCAGAACCCCGAUUGCGAAGGCAGCAUGCCGGCUUCCGACUGACGCUGAAGCACGAAAGCGUGGGGAUCGAACAGGAUUAGAUACCCUGGUAGUC